This 503-nucleotide ribosomal RNA is filed under the name uncultured bacterium. Its description in RNAcentral is "partial 16S ribosomal RNA". It matches the Rfam family "Bacterial small subunit ribosomal RNA", at positions 28 to 523 of the family's 1533-position model. The record is from RNAcentral.
GAUGAACGCUAGCGGCAGGCCUAACACAUGCAAGUCGAGGGGUAGCAGGAUUAAGCUUGCUUAAUUGCUGACGACCGGCGCACGGGUGCGUAACGCGUAUGCAACUUACCUUAUACUGGGGUAUAGCCCGGAGAAAUUCGGAUUAAUCCCCCAUAGUACUAAUGAAUCGCAUGGUUUAUUAGUUAAAGCAUUGCGGUAUAAGAUGGGCAUGCGUCCUAUUAGCUAGAUGGUGAGGUAACGGCUCACCAUGGCUACGAUAGGUAGGGGGCCUGAGAGGGUGGUCCCCCACACUGGUACUGAGACACGGACCAGACUCCUACGGGAGGCAGCAGUGAGGAAUAUUGGUCAAUGGGCGCAAGCCUGAACCAGCCAUGCCGCGUGCAGGAAGAAUGCCCUAUGGGUUGUAAACUGCUUUUAUUUGGGAAAAAACCUCUUUACGUGUAGAGAGCUGAAGGUACCAAAUGAAUAAGCACCGGCUAACUCCGUGCCAGCCGCCGCGGUAA